GUGCUCGCUUCAGCAGCACAUAUACUAAAAUUGGAAUGAUGCAGAGAAGAUUAGCUUGGCCCCUGCACAAGGGUAACACACAGAUUCGUGAAGCGUUCCAUAUUUUU
This 107-nucleotide small nuclear RNA is filed under the name Jaculus jaculus (lesser Egyptian jerboa). Lineage: Eukaryota; Metazoa; Chordata; Mammalia; Rodentia; Dipodidae. The record is from RNAcentral.